This is a ribosomal RNA of Williamsia sterculiae, 2320 nucleotides long. It matches the Rfam family "Bacterial large subunit ribosomal RNA", at positions 758 to 2925 of the family's 2925-position model. The record is from Rfam. NCBI's taxonomy places the organism in Bacteria, Bacillati, Actinomycetota, Actinomycetes, Mycobacteriales, Nocardiaceae.
AAGAUGUUGUGGAGGCCCGAACCCACUUCAGUUGAAAAUGGAGGGGAUGAGUUGUGGGUAGGGGUGAAAGGCCAAUCAAACUCCGUGAUAGCUGGUUCUCCCCGAAAUGCAUUUAGGUGCAGCGUUGCGUGUUUCUUACCGGAGGUAGAGCUACUGGAUGGCGGAUGGGCCCUAUCAGGUUACUGAUGUCAGCCAAACUCCGAAUGCCGGUAAGUGAGAGCGUGGCAGUGAGACUGCGGGCGAUAAGGUUCGUUGUCGAGAGGGAAACAGCCCAGAUCGCCGGCUAAGGCCCCUAAGCGUGUACUAAGUGGAAAAGGAUGUGGGGUCGCAGAGACAACCAGGAGGUUGGCUUAGAAGCAGCCACCCUUGAAAGAGUGCGUAAUAGCUCACUGGUCAAGUGAUCCUGCGCCGACAAUGUAGCGGGGCUCAAGUACACCGCCGAAGCCGCGGCACUCACACAUGUACAUCCACAUGGUUCUACGGGACUGUGUGUAGUGGUGUGGGUGGGUAGGGGAGCGUCCUGCAUCCCUGGAAGCCACGGAGUGAUCCUGUGGUGGAGGAUGUGGGAGUGAGAAUGCAGGCAUGAGUAGCGAAAGCAGAGUGAGAAACUCUGCCGCCGAAUGACCAAGGGUUCCUGGGCCAGGUUAAUCCGCCCAGGGUGAGUCGGGACCUAAGGCGAGGCCGACAGGCGUAGUCGAUGGACAACGGGUUGAUAUUCCCGUACCCGUGUAUCCGCGUCCGUGAUGAAUCAGCUGUACUAACCACCCAAAUGGUGGCCGAUCUCCUUCGGGAGACGGUGCGCCGGCUGCGUGGGACCUCGGUUGGUAGUAGUCAAGCGAUGGGGUGACGCAGGAAGGUAGUGGGGCCAGUCAGUGGUUGUACUGGUGUAAGCCUGUAGGACGAGGCAUAGGUAAAUCCGUGUCUCAUGAUGUCUGAGAGGUGAUGCGUAGCCGUUGAGGCGAAUUCCAUGAUCCUAUGCUGCCGAGAAAAGCCUCUAGCGAGUUGGUACACGGCCCGUACCCCAAACCGACACAGGUGGUCAGGUAGAGAAUACUAAGGCGAUCGAGAGAACUGUGGUUAAGGAACUCGGCAAAAUGCCCCCGUAACUUCGGGAGAAGGGGGACCACUGUUGGUGAACACCCUCGCGGUGGGAGCUGGUGGUGGUCGCAGAGACCAGAGAGAAGCGACUGUUUACUAAAAACACAGGUCCGUGCGAAGUCGUAAGACGAUGUAUACGGACUGACGCCUGCCCGGUGCUGGAAGGUUAAGAGGACCGGUUAAUCACUUCGGUGGUGAAGCUGAGAAUUUAAGCCCCAGUAAACGGCGGUGGUAACUAUAACCAUCCUAAGGUAGCGAAAUUCCUUGUCGGGUAAGUUCCGACCUGCACGAAUGGCGUAACGACUUCUCUGCUGUCUCAACCACAGACUCGGCGAAAUUGCAGUACGAGUAAAGAUGCUCGUUACGCGCGGCAGGACGAAAAGACCCCGGGACCUUCACUAUAGCUUGGUAUUGGUGUUCGGUUCGGUUUGUGUAGGAUAGGUGGGAGACUGUGAAACCCGCACGCCAGUGUGGGUGGAGUCGUUGUUGAAAUACCACUCUGAUCGUAUUGGACAUCUAACCUCGGACCCUGAUCGGGUUCAGGGACAGUGCCUGGUGGGUAGUUUAACUGGGGCGGUUGCCUCCCAAAAUGUAACGGAGGCGCCCAAAGGUUCCCUCAGCCUGGUUGGCAAUCAGGUGUUGAGUGUAAGUGCACAAGGGAGCUUGACUGUGAGACGUACAUGUCGAGCAGGGACGAAAGUCGGGACUAGUGAUCCGGCACCAACGUGUGGAAGUGGUGUCGCUCAACGGAUAAAAGGUACCCCGGGGAUAACAGGCUGAUCUUCCCCAAGAGUCCAUAUCGACGGGAUGGUUUGGCACCUCGAUGUCGGCUCGUCGCAUCCUGGGGCUGGAGUAGGUCCCAAGGGUUGGGCUGUUCGCCCAUUAAAGCGGCACGCGAGCUGGGUUUAGAACGUCGUGAGACAGUUCGGUCUCUAUCCGCCGCGCGCGUAAGAAACUUGAGGAAACCUGUCCCUAGUACGAGAGGACCGGGACGGACGAACCUCUGGUGUGCCAGUUGUUCCACCAGGAGCACCGCUGGUUAGCUACGUUCGGAAGGGAUAACCGCUGAAAGCAUCUAAGCGGGAAGCCUGUUCCAAGAUGAGGUUUCUCACCCCCACCGCGGGGUUAAGGCCCCCCACAGACCAUGGGGUUGAUAGGCCAGAACUGGAAGCCCAGCAAUGGGUGCAGGUGACUGGUACUAAUCGGCCGAGGACUUACCACA